This 348-nucleotide unclassified non-coding RNA is filed under the name soil metagenome. RNAcentral's name for it is "partial contains 5.8S ribosomal RNA, internal transcribed spacer 2, and large subunit ribosomal RNA". The stretch from base 1 to 120 matches the Rfam family "5.8S ribosomal RNA", at positions 35 to 154 of the family's 154-position model. The record is from RNAcentral.
GAUGAAGAACGUAGCGAAAUGCGAUAAGUAAUGUGAAUUGCAGAAUUCAGUGAAUCAUCGAGUCUUUGAACGCACAUUGCGCCCCCUGGUAUUCCGGGGGGCAUGCCUGUCCGAGCGUCAUUGCCGCCCUCAAGCACGGCUUGUGUGUUGGGCCCCCGCCCCCCGGCUUCGGGGGGCGGGCCCGAAAGGCAGCGGCGGCACCGCGUCCGGUCCUCGAGCGUAUGGGGCUUCGUCACCCGCUCUGUAGGCCCGGCCGGCGCCCGCCGGCGACCCCAAUCAAUUUUUCCAGGUUGACCUCGGAUCAGGUAGGGAUACCCGCUGAACUUAAGCAUAUCAAUAAGCGGAGGA